CUUGGAGGUUGUGCCCUUGAGGCGUGGCUUCCGGAGCUAACGCGUUAAGUCGACCGCCUGGGGAGUACGGCCGCAAGGUUAAAACUCAAAUGAAUUGACGGGGGCCCGCACAAGCGGUGGAGCAUGUGGUUUAAUUCGAUGCAACGCGAAGAACCUUACCUACUCUUGACAUCCAGAGAACUUUCCAGAGAUGGAUUGGUGCCUUCGGGAACUCUGAGACAGGUGCUGCAUGGCUGUCGUCAGCUCGUGUUGUGAAAUGUUGGGUUAAGUCCCGCAACGAGCGCAACCCUUAUCCUUUGUUGCCAGCGGUUCGGCCGGGAACUCAAAGGAGACUGCCAGUGAUAAACUGGAGGAAGGUGGGGAUGACGUCAAGUCAUCAUGGCCCUUACGAGUAGGGCUACACACGUGCUACAAUGGCGCAUACAAAGAGAAGCGACCUCGCGAGAGCAAGCGGACCUCAUAAAGUGCGUCGUAGUCCGGAUUGGAGUCUGCAACUCGACUCCAUGAAGUCGGAAUCGCUAGUAAUCGUAGAUCAGAAUGCUACGGUGAAUACGUUCCCGGGCCUUGCACUCCCCGCCCCGUCAAAA
RNAcentral lists this ribosomal RNA (587 nucleotides) under Enterobacterales bacterium. RNAcentral describes it as "bacterial SSU rRNA". It matches the Rfam family "Bacterial small subunit ribosomal RNA", at positions 816 to 1402 of the family's 1533-position model. The record is from RNAcentral. Lineage: Bacteria; Pseudomonadati; Pseudomonadota; Gammaproteobacteria; Enterobacterales.